This is a long non-coding RNA of Pan troglodytes (chimpanzee), 1452 nucleotides long. Lineage: Eukaryota; Metazoa; Chordata; Mammalia; Primates; Hominidae. The record is from Ensembl.
UACUUUGCAAUUUAAUUUAAUGAACGCUAUUUACACUUCCAUUUCAGUUUCUAGUAACCAAACGAAUGCUUUAACAGCUUUACUGGUUUCAAAGGACCCAUGCCUCAUGCCCGUCUCAGCUUUAGUUUACAUGAAGGAAACUGAAAAUGCAGAUGUCACAUAGGCUUCGUGCUUCAGCAGCAGUAGCAGCAGCUCUCCAUACCACUCUGGGCACAAUUUCUUCAGAUAGUUUUUGGUCAGCUACCUUGAAAAAGCACCUCCAAGAUCAUUCUGCAGCCUGGCUAAGGAUGAAGAUAACUGAUAAACUAUUAUAUACCAAAAAGAUGUUGACAUGGAAAUUUUACCAAGCCUCCACCCCCAGAGUUAGGGUUGUUCAAAAGAGUAUCUCUUGUCUAGAGCUAUGGCUGUGUCACAAGCAAAGGAGCUGAAGGUUGAAAGGUAAAUAAGCACAAAGGAAUCAUCAGUACAAAGAGAGACUGUGACAAGACUAGACAAUUCUAUUCAAAAUUUUGAGAACUGGAGUAUAACAAAUGAGAAUGAAGAAACCAAUGAUGGAAACAUCAAGAUGAGACCCAAUGGACCAUUAGGAGGUGGGUCUAUAAAAACUCUGAAGACAACACCAUGCUACUUGUUGCUGGCUUCUGUAUGUUAUUUCUGACACAAUGCUUAGGCAGUCUUGCUCCACUAAGAAAAAGCUGGUAGAACACAUAUAGACACUAAUAACAUGUUAAUUAUAUUAAAAAUAUGGGGCUUAUUUUAAAAUACAACUUAACUAAUAGAGUGAAAACAAUACACUGGUUGUCGUUAAACUUCCCCUUUUCUUCAUUCAUCAAAAGUGUAUCUACUGAAUACCUAACAUAAAGAAAUCAUUUAUACUGGGGUAAAUUACACAUCAAUCUAAACUUCCAGAAAAUUUUAUUCAUUAUAUAAAGUUAAAUAAGGUUGUAAAUAUCUAGAGUCCAAGGUAAAUGUGAUAUAUAUCAUAAGCGAUGUACAAAAAACAUACUGUCUGGGCACUGUGACUCAGGCCUGUAAUCCCAGUACUUUGGGAGGUCAAGGUGGGAGGAUUGCUUGAGCCCAGGAGUUUGAAACCAGCCUGGCCAACAGGGCGAAAUCCCAUCUCUACAAAAAAUACAAACAUUUGUCGGGUAUGGUGGUGCAGGACUGUAGUCCUACCUAUUCUGGAGGCUGAGGCGGGAAGAUCACUUGAUCCUAGGAGGCAGAGGUUGCAGUGAGCCGAGACCGUGCCAUUGCACUCUAGCCUGGGAGAGAGAGUUAAACUCUGUCACAACAAAACAAAACAAAAAAUACAUGCUGGGAAAGUUCAAAGAAUGGGGUCAUUUCCAGGGAAAUUUCCACAGAUGAUGUCAUAGACAACCUUGACUUUGAGGAAGAGCUAGGAUAUACAAAGUCCCAGAUAUUGGUGAGAAGAAAUCACUAAUGCUAUGGUCA